AAAAAUAAAGCGAUAUAUAAUUGCAAUCAGUUUCGACCUGAUCCUAGAUUAAUAAUCUAUUUUUA
This 65-nucleotide transfer RNA is filed under the name Ixodes auritulus. RNAcentral describes it as "tRNA-Arg". Lineage: Eukaryota; Metazoa; Arthropoda; Arachnida; Ixodida; Ixodidae. The record is from RNAcentral.